This 253-nucleotide ribosomal RNA is filed under the name uncultured bacterium. RNAcentral describes it as "partial 16S ribosomal RNA". It matches the Rfam family "Bacterial small subunit ribosomal RNA", at positions 524 to 776 of the family's 1533-position model. The record is from RNAcentral.
UACGAAGGGGGCUAGCGUUGUUCGGAUUUACUGGGCGUAAGGCGCACGUAGGCGGAUCUUUAAGUCAGGGGUGAAAUCCCAAGGCUCAACCUUGGAACUGCCUUUGAUACUGGGGAUCUCGAGUCCGGAAGAGGUGAGUGGAACUGCGAGUGUAGAGGUGAAAUUCGUAGAUAUUCGCAAGAACACCAGUGGCGAAGGCGGCUCACUGGUCCGGUACUGACGCUGAGGUGCAAAAGCGUGGGGAGCAAACAGG